CCUACGGGAGGCAGCAGUGAGGAAUAUUGGUCAAUGGCCGGAAGGCUGAACCAGCCAAGCCGCGUGCAGGACGAAGGUGCCAAGCAUUGUAAACUUCUUUUGUCAAGGGACAAAAUCAGGCUCGAGAGUCUGACCGAGGGUAAUUGAAGAAAAAGCAUCGGCUAACUCCGUGCCAGCCGCCGCGGUAAUACGGAGGGGGCAAGCGUUAUCCGGAUUUACUGGGUGUAAAGGGGGCGCAGACGGCGAUGCAAGCUAGGAGUGAAAGCCCGGGGCCCAACCCCGGGACUGCUCUUGGAACUGCGUGGCGGGAGUGCAGGAGGGGCAGGCGGAAUUCCUGGUGUAGCGGUGAAAUGCGUAGAUAUCAGGAGGAACACCGGUGGCGAAGGCGGCCUGCUGGACUGCAACUGACGUUGAGGCCCGAAAGCGUGGGGAGCAAACAGGAUUAGAUACCCCGGUAGUC
This 460-nucleotide ribosomal RNA is filed under the name uncultured bacterium. Its description in RNAcentral is "partial 16S ribosomal RNA". It matches the Rfam family "Bacterial small subunit ribosomal RNA", at positions 338 to 795 of the family's 1533-position model. The record is from RNAcentral.